AGUACUGGCAGGGUCCUGACAUUGGUGUUUACAGCACGUAGUGCACGUCGCAAUGUGAAUGGAGAUCUGUAAGCGGCCCGAGGGAAAAUGGCAGCCGUGUUGAGUCUUGUCCACUUUCAGAAUCUAGGUUUCAGCAUUUGCGGCUCGAGCUCUCCGAGAGAAUUGCCGAUGUCAGGAAAUUUUGGAGACAAAAUGAAAAGUUCUGGAUGCUACAAAAAUGGUUAACUGCAUUAAACAAAGAUCAGUUCACUUGAGAAUGUUUUUUUUAAAAAAAACUGUGUGGAAACCUGGAUAAAGAGCACACCAAUUUCUUGCUACAUUCAGAAAUCUAGUGGCUUAGAGAAAGAGUUCUUCACAGGAUGUUUGAGCUGAAAGGUGAAUUGCAAGAAAAUAGUAGAUGGAAAUGAUUACAUUACCCUGGAGACUCUUGGCUUCAACUCUGAAAUUUACACGGAAAGUAGGAGAAGAAUUUGGUUAAAAGCUAAAAAUAUUAGAAAAUUAUUGUUAGAGACAGUAUAUAGGAACAACUAUUUAUACAUGAAACACUGCUUUCUGUGCCCUAGCCAAGUUCCAGUAACCUAUUACCCUUGCACGCACAGACAUUGGCUGCUGGUAUGUUGAUGUGUUAUAAAUUCAACAAGGUCCACCUCCCCUUUUGGUCUCUUCAAUCUUUUCUACUUCUAUCAUCUAACAAUUGUGACCAUUUUAAUUGUUAUACCAUAUGGAUAAGUUCUAUGCUCCUAGUUUAACUCAACUCUAACUCUCCAUCUCCUUUAAAACUUUUACAAAAAGAACCACUCUAGAUUUUGGUAGGUUUGUUCAAGUCUCUCUAUAGUUUGGUGUCAAAUAUUGUUCGAUAACAAACCACAAAGAGCAACAUAAGUGGGAUCAUCAAAAUCCAGAGUUUUGUUCUGCACUGCCACAGAACCAUUGCGAUGGAUACAGUUUGUCAAGUAUUCUUGCUUUUGAAUAUGAUCUGCAUCAGGUGAGAUAUCCCAAAAGCAUUGUGUUGCCUGCUGACACAUUCUACCCAAGCUCAUUUAAAUACAGCCAUUUUGGGAGCUGCUUUACUGCAACCUGUUCCCACAAUUGGGAUCAGCACCAUUAACCAAACAAGGAUAUAAAAUAACUUUAUAAUGAAAUAUAUAUCACUGAAUUACAUCUCCACAACAGCGGUUCAAUGGGUUGAAACAUUGUAUGUAAUUUUGAAACCUUAGAUUUAAAUUUUGAUUGUCUCCUCUUUGUUCAUUGUGGACAAUCUGAAAAUAGUUUGAAUCUGCCAGUUUAGUUCAGUGAGUGGGCAAAAAUUUGGCUGCAGAUGAGUGAUUUUGUUCAUAACAACAUGCAUAAGCAAUCAAGGAAUAUUUAGUUCUCAGCAGGUUCAUGAAUGUCUUUAUUUGUUUGUCAAGUGUGCAUUGUGCAUUAAUUGAACAGAUAAAGAACAAGUGAGCUUGAGGUAAACAUUAGCAAUGAUACUAAUGGUAGUAAAGAUACCACUGCUUUUCCAAAGAGAAAAUGUUUCUCUUUUAAUAACGUGGGAGUUAUGGGGAAAAUGCUGUGAGGAAACCUGCAGUUUGCAAGAUGAGUAAAUUCAGGAAGAUGAAUGUGUUAUGUGAGAAAGUUAGAAAGUAGCUAAUUUUAUUUUUCCGAAGUGGGAAAAGAUGGAUUGCUAGGUAAGUAACACACACAAAAAGCUGGAGGAACUCAGCAGGCCAGGCAGCAUCUGUGGAAAAGAAUAAACAGUUGCUGUUUCAGGCCAGGACCCUUCAUCAGGAUUAAAUGCAUACAGUUUUCUUCUUUAGGAUAUUGAAUAUUGCUUUCUUAUUGACAUUUAUUUCUCAGGGCACCUAAGAAUGAAUUUGAUAUUGCUGGAGCUUGGAGGAUCUAGGUUUAGUAAGCAAAAAUACAGGUGGUUCAAGGUGGAUGUAAGAUCAGUUUCAAGAUCUAACAUUGCCUCAGUUUAGUAACUGAAGGAGCAUUAGGCACGUGAUAUUCCCCUGCCAGAAGAGGAAGAUCUCUCAUGCUCUCCACAACAACGUGUGUGUGUGUGUGUGUGUGGGCAUUUGUGGUUAGGAAUAUCAAAGCUGCAGGAUCGUUGUUUUUCAAUUUUUUGCGAGAAGUGGCUGACCAGAUGUGGCAAAGUGAAUGCUAUUGGUGAUUCACAGCCCCCUCUGUUUUACUGUUGGUACUUCAUUGAUUCUCAAACUAACAGGCUUCCAAAACACCAAAUACUUCCUUCCCUUUAUCAACUUCCCACGUCUAUACGCAGCAGUUUCCCCCCAUGCUUAGUAAGCUCAGUGUUCAGACUAUUUUUUGAUGAAUUCCUCCAU
Molecule: long non-coding RNA, 2330 nt
Organism: Hypanus sabinus (Atlantic stingray)
Lineage: Eukaryota; Metazoa; Chordata; Chondrichthyes; Myliobatiformes; Dasyatidae
Exons: 3
Source: RefSeq, a predicted model, not a curated record